Non-coding RNA from Schistosoma margrebowiei, 45 nucleotides. The record is from Rfam. Lineage: Eukaryota; Metazoa; Platyhelminthes; Trematoda; Strigeidida; Schistosomatidae.
ACCCGGCUGACGAGUCCCAAACAGGACGAAACGCGCGUCCUGGAU